RNAcentral lists this ribosomal RNA (408 nucleotides) under uncultured bacterium. Its description in RNAcentral is "partial 16S ribosomal RNA". It matches the Rfam family "Bacterial small subunit ribosomal RNA", at positions 29 to 526 of the family's 1533-position model. The record is from RNAcentral.
AGUGAACGCUGGCGGCGUGCCUAAUACAUGCAAGUCGAACGGAGUGGCGCACGGGUGAGUAAUAUAUAGCUAAUCUGCCCCUUGCUGGAGGACAACAGUUAGAAAUGACUGCUAAUACUCCAUAGCAAGGGAUGAGACUAUAUCGUAUCAGCUAGUCGGUGGGGUAACGGCCGACCGAGGCUAUGACGCGUAACUGGUCUGAGAGGAUGAUCAGUCACAUUGGAACUGAGACACGUUACAAAUUCCUACGGGAGUCAGCAGUAGGGAUGAUUGUGAAAUGGGUGAAUCACUGACAAUGCAAUGCCGGGUGGAGGAAGACAAUUUGCGGAGCUUAAACUCGUUUUGUUAGGGUAGCGGUAUCUAACGAAUAAGCACUGGCUAACUCCGUGCCAGCAGCCGCGGUAAUUC